UGUGUGAAUGGCUGUUUGGCGAACUUUGGGUGAGUGACUCGUGAGCUUCUGAUUUUGAGCUUUUUUGUGAUUUUCAAUCUUCUGCUUGAAAAGGCGAAUCUGCGCCUCCUUUUAUAUGCUUAAAUCAAGGGUAGCUUUAGUUUUACAUUUGGUGAAUGUUGUUGGUAUGUGAACAAAGUUUUGCAUAAUUUUGAUUCUUGUUUUUGAUGUUGGCAGCAACCCUUAUACUAAUAUAUCUGCUUUCUUUUAUUUGCGUGUGAGUGGCUGUCUGGCGAACUUUGGGUGGGUGACUCAGUGAGCUUCAGAUUUUGAGCUGUUUUGUGAUGUUCAAUUUUCUGCUUGAAAAAAGGUGAAUCUUAGCCUCCUUUUAUUUGGCAAUGUUUGCCAUUGUGGUAGUUUAUGAGCUUAAUUAUUAGUCAACUGUAGUAAUUUUAGAUCGUCUUCUUGCAUGCAGAGACUUUGAUUAGUACAAUUAGAAAAUGUAACUCAAUGAGUUAAGCCAGUAAGAUAUACUUUUAGUUAAGAAUAGGAGUAUAUAUGCUCAUUUUUAAUUAUUAAUAAUCGUUAUAAACUCUCAAUUUUUACAAGCAGUAAAGAUGGGUACAAAAUCUGCUAGAUUGAACAAAAUGGGCACAAGUUGAUUUUGUGGCCCUCGCAAAAUCGAGUACCCAAAGUCAAAUCUGCAUAGAAGACAGACACCCAUUUUAGCCAAACUAAACACCUAAAAGUUCCGCUUCUACCGGUGCUUUUACAGUUAUAACCUUCCCAGUACACUGUAAGUAUCUGUUUUACAGAAUAAAGCCUGCCCCACUUUUUUUUAUUUGAUUUUUUAGUAUGAUAUUAGCUGAAGAUGCAUUUUUCUCCAAUCAAGAGGCAUGUCGAUCACGAUAAUGAGACAUGAUAAAUUUUAUAUUUUAUAUUUUAAUUAUUCUAAUUUAAUUUAAUUAUGAUUAAAAAUAUUUUUAGGAAAGAGAAAAAUAUGUAUUUUGUUAA
Jatropha curcas is the source of this 993-nucleotide non-coding RNA. The record is from RefSeq and is a predicted model, not a curated record. NCBI's taxonomy places the organism in Eukaryota, Viridiplantae, Streptophyta, Magnoliopsida, Malpighiales, Euphorbiaceae.